This 626-nucleotide ribosomal RNA is filed under the name Staphylococcus epidermidis. RNAcentral describes it as "bacterial SSU rRNA". It matches the Rfam family "Bacterial small subunit ribosomal RNA", at positions 231 to 860 of the family's 1533-position model. Lineage: Bacteria; Bacillati; Bacillota; Bacilli; Caryophanales; Staphylococcaceae. The record is from RNAcentral.
CCGCGCCGCAUUAGCUAGUUGGUAAGGUAACGGCUUACCAAGGCAACGAUGCGUAGCCGACCUGAGAGGGUGAUCGGCCACACUGGAACUGAGACACGGUCCAGACUCCUACGGGAGGCAGCAGUAGGGAAUCUUCCGCAAUGGGCGAAAGCCUGACGGAGCAACGCCGCGUGAGUGAUGAAGGUCUUCGGAUCGUAAAACUCUGUUAUUAGGGAAGAACAAAUGUGUAAGUAACUAUGCACGUCUUGACGGUACCUAAUCAGAAAGCCACGGCUAACUACGUGCCAGCAGCCGCGGUAAUACGUAGGUGGCAAGCGUUAUCCGGAAUUAUUGGGCGUAAAGCGCGCGUAGGCGGUUUUUUAAGUCUGAUGUGAAAGCCCACGGCUCAACCGUGGAGGGUCAUUGGAAACUGGAAAACUUGAGUGCAGAAGAGGAAAGUGGAAUUCCAUGUGUAGCGGUGAAAUGCGCAGAGAUAUGGAGGAACACCAGUGCGAAGGCGACUUUCUGGUCUGUAACUGACGCUGAUGUGCGAAAGCGUGGGGAUCAACAGAUAGAUACCCUGUAGUCCACGCCGUAAACGAUGAUGCUAGUGUAGGGGGUUUCCGCCCUAUGCUGCAGCUACGCAU